RNAcentral lists this ribosomal RNA (253 nucleotides) under uncultured bacterium. Its description in RNAcentral is "partial 16S ribosomal RNA". It matches the Rfam family "Bacterial small subunit ribosomal RNA", at positions 524 to 776 of the family's 1533-position model. The record is from RNAcentral.
UACGUAGGUGGCAAGCGUUGUCCGGAAUUAUUGGGCGUAAAGCGCGCGCAGGCGGUCUCUUAAGUCUGAUGUGAAAUCCCGUGGCUUAACCACGGGCGGUCAUUGGAAACUGGGGGGCUUGAGUGCAGAAGAGAAGAGCGGAAUUCCACGUGUAGCGGUGAAAUGCGUAGAGAUGUGGAGGAACACCAGUGGCGAAGGCGGCUCUUUGGUCUGUAACUGACGCUGAGGCGCGAAAGCGUGGGGAGCAAACAGG